GGGAUGGUAGGAUCAAGGCCUACCAUGGUGAUCACGGGUACGGGGAAUCAGGGCUCGGUUCCGGAGAGGGAGCCUGAGAAACGGCUACCACUUCCAAGGAAGGCAGCAGGCGCGUAAAUUACUCCCUGCUCGGAAGGAGCGAGGUAGUGACGACAAAUACCAAUGACCAGCAAACGUUGGCAAUUGGAAUGAGCUAAAGAUAAAGCUCUUAGCAAGUAACAAUUGGAGGGCAAGUCUGGUGCCAGCAGCCGCGGUAAUUCCAGCUCCAAGAGUGUAUACUAAAGCUGUUGCGGUUAAAACGCUCGUAGUUGAAUACCAACAUCUGGGAAGAGCUGGCCAAGAGAGAGUGGCAGGAUGAAAGUCCAGCCGCUUGAAAAUGGGCAGUCCGGAGAAGAGACAAGAGAAGAAACCAAAGGUUCGCCACUGCACUUUGCUGUGCGGGGGAAAAGCGAAGAGCACUCCAACCGAAGAGGGCGGAGGAACCAGCGGAAGAAAAAAUUACCUUGAACAAACUAGAGUGUUCCAAGCAGGCGAGAAACGCAGUGAAUAGGAAUAGCAUGGGAUAAGGAAGAGAAGGGGGCCAAGGAGGGCAAUGAGGGGAGAGAAAAGCCGAAAAGCCAACCGGCCAGACCGCGACCGGAACAGCCACACAUGACCCAGAGGGUUCGUCUGGACUUCCCAGGGGGGCAAAGAGCAGGUUUUUUGAGUUUUGGAAGGGAGCUGUGGGGAGACUUGCAGAGCUCGGAAGAAGCCAAAGAGCAGGCAGCCAAGUGAGUGGAGGCGAGGUAAGGAGAAGGGGGUUUGAGGCGAUCAAGAUUUCUCUUUUUACAAGUUGCACAACCGGUCUUCAGAGAAAACAGAAAGAAUAGGAACAAACGGGGUGGUUCAUACUUCUUUGUCAGGGGUGAAAUCCAAUGAUUAAAGAAAGAUGAACAAGAGCGAAAGCAUUCCACAAGAAUGAAUUCAUUGAUCAAGAACGAAAGUUGGGGGAUCGAAGACGAUUAGAUACCGUCGUAGUCUCAACCAUAAACGAUGCCGACAAGAGAUUGGGAGAAGGCUUUCCGAAAGGAAGCAAGGCGCCCCCAGGGACGAAAGGAAACUGGAAGUGUAUGGGCUUCGGGGGGAGUAUAGUCGCAAGGCAGAAACUUAAAGGAAUUGACGGAAGGGCACCACCAGGAGUGGAGCCUGCGGCUUAAUUUGACCCAACACGGGAAAGCUCACCAGGUCCGGACAGAGGAAGGAAUGACAGAUUGAGAGCUCUUUCAUGAUUCGCUGGGUGGUGGUGCAUGGCCGUUCUUAGUUCGUGGUGUAAAUUGUCUGUGUCAAUUCCGCUAACGAACGAGACCUUAACCAGCUAAAUAAUGUUGAGGCAGAGAGAACUGGGAGGAAGCAGGGAGACUUGUGGAAUUUCAGGGACUCUAGUAGAAAAUGCA
Molecule: ribosomal RNA, 1433 nt
Filed under: metagenome
Description: bacterial SSU rRNA
Rfam family: Eukaryotic small subunit ribosomal RNA
Source: RNAcentral